This 393-nucleotide ribosomal RNA is filed under the name uncultured bacterium. RNAcentral describes it as "partial 16S ribosomal RNA". It matches the Rfam family "Bacterial small subunit ribosomal RNA", at positions 523 to 918 of the family's 1533-position model. The record is from RNAcentral.
AUACGGAGGAUCCGAGCGUUAUCCGGAUUUAUUGGGUUUAAAGGGUGCGUAGGCGGACUGGUAAGUCAGCUGUGAAAGUUUGCGGCUUAACCGUAAAAUUGCAGUUGAUACUGUCAGUCUUGAGUGUGCAUGAGGUGGGCGGAAUUUGUGGUGUAGCGGUGAAAUGCUUAGAUAUCACGAGGAACUCCAAUUGCGAAGGCAGCUCACUGGGGCAUAACUGACGCUGAUGCACGAAGGUGUGGGUAUCAAACAGGAUUAGAUACCCUGGUAGUCCACACAGUAAACUAUGAAUACUCGCUGUUUGCGAUAUACAGUAAGCGGCCAAGCGAAAGCAUUAAGUAUUCCACCUGGGGAGUACGCCGGCAACGGUGAAACUCAAAUGAAUUGACGGGG